RNAcentral lists this long non-coding RNA (305 nucleotides) under Mytilus galloprovincialis (Mediterranean mussel). The record is from RNAcentral. Lineage: Eukaryota; Metazoa; Mollusca; Bivalvia; Mytilida; Mytilidae.
GAAUUAUAUGAUGAAAAUGGUUUGGCUACUAAAAAUCAAAAUAAAAUUUUAGAGUUAGAAGUAAAAUACUAUAAAAAACUUUAUGAAUCAACUAAUCCCUGUGAUAAUGAGGUUAAGAAGUAUAUAACAGAAACAGAAAUAUCAAAACAGCUAGAUGAAUCAGAAAGCAAUCAAUGUGAAGGGGAAGUAACUGAGAAAGAAUGUACAGAAGCAAUCUUUAAAAUGAAGUUAAAUAAAUCCCCUGGCCUGGAUGGUCUGACGGUGGAAUUUUAUAGGCAAUUUUGGAAUAAUUUAAAAAAAAUAUU